RNAcentral lists this ribosomal RNA (497 nucleotides) under uncultured bacterium. Its description in RNAcentral is "partial 16S ribosomal RNA". It matches the Rfam family "Bacterial small subunit ribosomal RNA", at positions 28 to 507 of the family's 1533-position model. The record is from RNAcentral.
GAUGAACGCUGGCGGCGUGCCUAAUACAUGCAAGUCGAGCGAACAGACGAGGAGCUUGCUCCUCUGACGUUAGCGGCGGACGGGUGAGUAACACGUGGAUAACCUACCUAUAAGACUGGGAUAACUUCGGGAAACCGGAGCUAAUACCGGAUAAUAUAUUGAACCGCAUGGUUCAAUAGUGAAAGACGGUUUUGCUGUCACUUAUAGAUGGAUCCGCGCCGCAUUAGCUAGUUGGUAAGGUAACGGCUUACCAAGGCAACGAUGCGUAGCCGACCUGAGAGGGUGAUCGGCCACACUGGAACUGAGACACGGUCCAGACUCCUACGGGAGGCAGCAGUAGGGAAUCUUCCGCAAUGGGCGAAAGCCUGACGGAGCAACGCCGCGUGAGUGUUGAAGGUCUUCGGAUCGUAAAACUCUGUUAUUAGGGAAGAACAAAUGUGUAAGUAACUAUGCACGUCUUGACGGUACCUAAUCAGAAAGCCACGGCUAACUACGUG